AGAGUUUGAUCCUGGCUCAGGAUGAACGCUAGCGGUGCGCCUAAUACAUGCAAGUCGAGCGAGGUUUCGAACCGAGCGGCGAACGGCUGAGUAACACGUUGGUACCUACCCUGUACUCAGGGAUAACAGUUGGAAACGACUGAUAAUACCGGAUAGUCCCGCAAGGGUAAAGAUUUUUCGGUACAGGAGGGGCCUGCGGCUCAUCAGGUAGUUGGUAGGGUAAUGGCCUACCAAGCCUAUGACGAGUAUCUGGUGUGAGAGCAUGACCAGACAGAAUGGGACUGAGACACGGCCCAUACUCCUACGGGAGGCAGCAGUAAGGAAUCUUCCACAAUGGACGAAAGUCUGAUGGAGCGACACCGCGUGCAGGAUGACACCCCUUGGGGCGUAAACUGCUUUUCUGAGUGAAGACAUUUUGACGUUAACUCAGGAAUAAGCACCGGCUAACUACGUGCCAGCAGCCGCGGUAAUACGUAGGGUGCAAGCGUUAUCCGGAAUAAUUGGGCGUAAAGCGUCCGCAGCCGGACAAAUAAGUUUGAUGUUAAAGCCCGCAGCUCAACUGCGGAAUCGUAUCGAAAACUGUUUGUCUAGAGUUAUACAGAGGUGCGUGGAAUUUAUGGAGUAGGGGUAAAAUCCGUUGAUACCAUAAGGAACACCAAAAGCGAAGGCAGCGCACUGGGUAUAUACUGACGGUCAGGGACGAAAGCGUGGGGAGCAAAGAGGAUUAGAUACCCUUGUAGUCCACGCCGUAAACGAUGGAUACUCGAUGUUGGAGGAUUCGACCCCUUCAGUGUCUAAGCUAACGCGUUAAGUAUCCCGCCUGGGGAGUACGAUCGCAAGAUUAAAACUCAAAGGAAUAGACGGGGACCCACACAAGCGGUGGAAUAUGGGGUUUAAUUCGUCAAUACGCGAGAAACCUUACCAAGACUUGACAUCCCGAGAACUUUCCAGAAAUGGAUUGGUGCCGCAAGGAACUCGGUGACAGGUGCUGCAUGGUUGUCGUCAGCUCGUGCCUUGAGGUGUACGGUUAAGUCCGCCAACGAGCGCAACCCUUAUUGUAUGUUGUAUAUUUCAUGCAAGACUGCCUGGUACAACCAGGAGGAAGGUGGGGAUGACGUCAAAUCAGCAUGGCCCUUACGUCUUGGGCUACACCCGUAUUACAAUGGAAGGUACAAUGUGUAGCGAAACAGCAAUGUCUAGCUAAUCACUAAAAACCUUUCUCAGUUCGGAUUGAGGGCUGCAACUCGCCCUCAUGAAGUUGGAAUCGCUAGUAAUCGUAGAUCAUCAUGCUACGGUGAAUAUGUUCCUGGGUCUUGUACUCACCGCCCGUCAAAUCACGAGAGAAGGGGGCGCCCGAAGUCGUGUUAGUCUUUCGAGACGCAUGCCUAAGGUGAAACUUUUGAUUGGGAUUAAGUCGUAACAAGGUA
Molecule: ribosomal RNA, 1427 nt
Filed under: metagenome
Description: bacterial SSU rRNA
Rfam family: Bacterial small subunit ribosomal RNA
Source: RNAcentral